UUUUUGUAAAUUUCUGAGAAAUAUAGACAUUAAUAGCUUUCUAAAAAGGUAAAACUCGUAUUUUUCCUUGAAGUGAUUGAUUUUAUAUGAUUUUCCAAAGUUAGGAUUCAAAUGUGUAUGUGUCUUGAUUAAACUUGUGAUUGGUAGUUAAUUGAGAUCCUACACUACUAAACUUGAAUUAAGGUUUUAUUGUUCUAAUUACCUAUUGAGGAUUAUUGAUUACUAAAGCUUGUUAAUAUGAUAGUGAUGGACAUAAUUAUGUUUAUAUGAUUAAUUACUUUGGAAUUUUGUGUUUUACAUGUAUGGUUAGUUGUAAACUGAUCUCUAUGGAAUGGAUUUGUUUACUUCUAAACUUUCUCAAGCAGAGGAAUUCUUAUAAGAUAGGAAUAUUAGUUUAUACGUUCUUAAAGUUCAUAGAGUCAGUAUAUUGAUUAGUUUAGUUGAUGCAACCUUAGCAGUUUAUUGGGAUGCUAUUUAUAGCUAAUUCUUCUUAUCUAGUUAUCCAAUCUUAUUUUAGAAUCUUGCUAUUAUGAAGGUGACAGUAGCAAUGAUAGAUAAGUGAGCAAGAGUUUCUACAUCGUUAAGCGUAUCAGGUGGGCUUUCUAAACUCAUAAUUUGAAGUGCGCACUAUUUAAUUAUGUUAUUAUAUGAAUGAAGUUAUAUUAAAGUUAUUGACUUGCCAAAUUAUUUUAAGAGCUUGUAUGUUACCAUCUACGAGAGAUAGACGAUAUCGGCCCUAUGCUGAAGCGAGAUGUCAGUAAGGGUUUGUGCACAUAGUUGUGACCGUGAGUCAUCGAGCGGGUUGGCCGGUCACUGUGAUCGGGAGCCUUCGGGCCGAUCACUGUGUUUGAGAAGGAGGCCUACUUCUCAACACAAGGUUACAUGAUGCGUAGUUAUGGUACAUACAUGUUAAUUGUCU
RNAcentral lists this long non-coding RNA (919 nucleotides) under Salvia miltiorrhiza (redroot sage). RNAcentral's name for it is "long non-coding RNA (SMIL_LNC005690)". Lineage: Eukaryota; Viridiplantae; Streptophyta; Magnoliopsida; Lamiales; Lamiaceae. The record is from RNAcentral.